This 479-nucleotide ribosomal RNA is filed under the name uncultured bacterium. Its description in RNAcentral is "bacterial SSU rRNA". It matches the Rfam family "Bacterial small subunit ribosomal RNA", at positions 52 to 529 of the family's 1533-position model. The record is from RNAcentral.
UACAUGCAUGUCGAACGAAGCACUUGUCGCUUAGUGGCGAAUGGGUGAGUAACACGUACUUAAUCUACCUCAUAGUUUGGGACAACAUUUGGAAACGAAUGCUAAUACCGAAUAUACCUUAACACCGCAUGGUGAUUUGGUAAAAGGCCCGUUUGGGUCGCUAAGAGAUGAGAGUGCGGUACAUUAGUUAGUUGGUAGGGUAAAGGCCUACCAAGACGAUGAUGUAUAGCGGGGUUGAGAAGCUGAACCGCCACACUGGGACUGAGAUACGGCCCAGACUCCUACGGGAGGCAGCAGUAGGGAAUAUUCCACAAUGAGCGAAAGCUUGAUGGAGCGACACAGCGUGCAGGAUGAAGGUCUUCGGAUCGUAAACUGCUGUUAUAAGGGAAGAAAAACCGGUAUAGGAAAUGAUAUCGGCUUGACGGUACCUUGUCAGAAAGCACCGGCAAACUAUGUGCCAGCAGCCGCGGUAAUACAUA